AUUCCAGCUCCAAUAGCGUAUAUUAAAGUUGUUGCAGUUAAAAAGCUCGUAGUUGGAUUUCUGGUCUGAUGCCCUGGCCCGCCUCAAUUUCGAGGUGAGUGCCGGCUGUGCGUCUACCAUCCUUCUAGAAGACGUUCCUACCCUUCACUGGGCCGGGUUCGCGAUCUAGAUCUUUUACUUCGAAAAAAUUAGAGUGUUUAAAGCAGGCUUUUGCUAUGAAUACAUUAGCAUGGAAUAAUAAUCUAGGACUUCGGUUCUAUUUUGUUGGUUUCUAGUACUGAAGUAAUGAUUGAUAGGGAUAGUUGGGGGUGCUAGUAUUGAGCGGCCAGAGGUGAAAUUCUUGGAUUCGCUCAAGACUAACUUAUGCGAAAGCAUUCACCAAGGAUGUCUUCAUUA
RNAcentral lists this ribosomal RNA (396 nucleotides) under Ebriida sp. TAGIRI1 lineage. RNAcentral describes it as "partial small subunit ribosomal RNA". It matches the Rfam family "Eukaryotic small subunit ribosomal RNA", at positions 582 to 975 of the family's 1831-position model. Lineage: Eukaryota; Cercozoa; Thecofilosea. The record is from RNAcentral.